CCUUCGGGCGGCAGCAGUGGGGAAUAUUGGACAAUGGGGGGAACCCUGAUCCAGCCAUGCCGCGUGUGUGAAGAAGGCCCUCGGGUUGUAAAGCACUUUCAGUGAGGAAGAACGCCUGGUGGUUAAUACCCAUCAGGAAAGACAUCACUCACAGAAGAAGCACCGGCUAACUCCGUGCCAGCAGCCGCGGUAAUACGGAGGGUGCGAGCGUUAAUCGGAAUUACUGGGCGUAAAGCGCGCGUAGGUGGCUUGAUAAGCCGGUUGUGAAAGCCCCGGGCUCAACCUGGGAACGGCAUCCGGAACUGUCAAGCUAGAGUGCAGGAGAGGAAGGUAGAAUUCCCGGUGUAGCGGUGAAAUGCGUAGAGAUCGGGAGGAAUACCAGUGGCGAAGGCGGCCUUCUGGACUGACACUGACACUGAGGUGCGAAAGCGUGGGUAGCAAACAGGAUUAGAUACCCGGGUAGUC
RNAcentral lists this ribosomal RNA (465 nucleotides) under Vreelandella stevensii. RNAcentral's name for it is "partial 16S ribosomal RNA". It matches the Rfam family "Bacterial small subunit ribosomal RNA", at positions 338 to 795 of the family's 1533-position model. Lineage: Bacteria; Pseudomonadati; Pseudomonadota; Gammaproteobacteria; Oceanospirillales; Halomonadaceae. The record is from RNAcentral.